AGCCUUAAGGUUGAUUUAAGGUGAAUUCUGCCCAGUGAUUUUUUUAACGGCCGCGGUACUCUGACCGUGCUAAGGUAGCAUAAUCAUUUGUCUUAUAAUUGAAGUCUAGAAUGAAUGGGAUUACGGAAAAAAGCUUUCUCAAUUAAGCUAUAUAAAACUUACUAAUUAGGUGAAAAGGCCUAAAAAUGAAAAAAGACGAGAAGACCCUUAGAGUUUAAUUUUUUUUGGUUGGGGCGACCUAGGAUAAACCUCCUUUAAAAAUAAGACGGUUUUCAUGUGUAGAUAAACUACCUAAGGGAUAACAGCAUAAUCUUUUUGGUUUAUGACCUCGAUGUUGGACUAGGGAUUAUAGUGACUAGCCGUUACUAUACUAAAUUCUGUUCGAAUAUAACUCCCU
Molecule: ribosomal RNA, 397 nt
Filed under: Gastropteron multo
Lineage: Eukaryota; Metazoa; Mollusca; Gastropoda; Cephalaspidea; Gastropteridae
Description: partial 16S ribosomal RNA
Rfam family: Bacterial large subunit ribosomal RNA
Source: RNAcentral